AAAUUGAAGAGUUUGAUCAUGGCUCAGAUUGAACGCUGGCGGCAGGCCUAACACAUGCAAGUCGAACGGUAACAGGAAGCAGCUUGCUGCUUGGCUGACGAGUGGCGGACGGGUGAGUAAUGUCUGGGAAACUGCCUGAUGGAGGGGGAUAACUACUGGAAACGGUAGCUAAUACCGCAUAACGUCGCAAGACCAAAGAGGGGGACCUUCGGGCCUCUUGCCAUCGGAUGUGCCCAGAUGGGAUUAGCUAGUAGGUGGGGUAACGGCUCACCUAGGCGACGAUCCCUAGCUGGUCUGAGAGGAUGACCAGCCACACUGGAACUGAGACACGGUCCAGACUCCUACGGGAGGCAGCAGUGGGGAAUAUUGCACAAUGGGCGCAAGCCUGAUGCAGCCAUGCCGCGUGUAUGAAGAAGGCCUUCGGGUUGUAAAGUACUUUCAGCGGGGAGGAAGG
This 454-nucleotide ribosomal RNA is filed under the name Enterobacter cloacae complex sp. 2023EL-00493. Its description in RNAcentral is "bacterial SSU rRNA". It matches the Rfam family "Bacterial small subunit ribosomal RNA", at positions 1 to 451 of the family's 1533-position model. The record is from RNAcentral. Lineage: Bacteria; Pseudomonadati; Pseudomonadota; Gammaproteobacteria; Enterobacterales; Enterobacteriaceae.